AGUGGCUCAAACAAAAUAUAUAAAUUAAUAUACUACCGGGUCCUAGUUAUUAGUCCUUAAGAAAUAUCUGUAUGUUUAUUUUAUUUUAGCUGUACGCAAAGCUGCAAUUGUUUCUGAUGGCGUCAAUGGCCGUGUAGCAAUGGCUAGCAAUGACCAUGUACAAUCAGGAGUGACAGCUAAUGCAGGACCAGGAUCAAUAGUACAAAAGAACUAUGAUCAAAUAUUUGCUAUUCCUAUAUCAGCUUUAAAGUCAACCCAAAAUCUUUUGCCAGGAGAAAAAAAGAGUUUUAAAUAAAAUACUUUUAUUAUUUUAAUAUUACUUAUAUCAUAUCAGAAGAUAACCGACCACACCAAAAUUUGUUCCCUUGAUCACAAAAUCUGAUGAUUACUAUAAUUAUAAAAUAUUUACAGAUUAAUGAUGAUUACCUAUAGAACAAUGUGUGAAAUUAGAUAUUUUAAAAUGUUGACUUAAAAGUCAAUAAAAUCUGUUGCAAUAUCGUUUAUACAAUUCAUUUAUUAUUAUUAUUAUUUUUUGUUCUUGGUUGGUUGUUAUAAAUUUACUUU
Daktulosphaira vitifoliae (grape phylloxera) is the source of this 564-nucleotide long non-coding RNA. RefSeq lists it as uncharacterized. The transcript is spliced from 2 exons. NCBI's taxonomy places the organism in Eukaryota, Metazoa, Arthropoda, Insecta, Hemiptera, Phylloxeridae. The record is from RefSeq and is a predicted model, not a curated record.